Molecule: long non-coding RNA, 906 nt
Filed under: Anas platyrhynchos platyrhynchos (common mallard)
Lineage: Eukaryota; Metazoa; Chordata; Aves; Anseriformes; Anatidae
Description: lncRNA (ENSAPLG00000027378.1)
Source: RNAcentral
CACCGGCGGGGGACCACGUGGCCAUGCUGGAGCGCGUCAACCAGAGCAGCUACAGCAGCCCCCCUGCGCUCAGCCCCGCGCUAGCCCGGCUGCUGGCCGAGCUGCUGUGCCACAACCCCCUGCGCCGCCUGCGCUACCUCCACCACUUCCAGGACCACCCUUUCUUCCGCGGGGUGACCUUCGACGCCGACCUCCUGCAGAAGGACCCGGUGGCGGUGGCCGUGGCCCCGCGCCCCCCCCCCCCCCCCCCCCCCCAAACCCCCCCCCCCAGGCAGCGGCUGGGCCCUCAGCGCUGUGCGUCUCCCCACGGGACUGUUAUAAAUGAAGUCUCAACUCAAUCUGGAUUUAGGAAUAUUUAUAAAGGGAAUAUUUAUAAAAGGUAUAAAAGGCAAGGAACCAGCGCUGGGUGUGCGGGGAGUCUGCGCUCCACCAACAGGCACACACAAACAUCAAACAUUCAUUCCUUCUUUCUGCUCCUUUAUUGAUGACAUACCUUCAUCAUGUUGACUUUUUUUUCUUUCUCUCUCUUUUUUUAUUUUAUUUUAUUUUGUUUUAUUUUAUUUAUUUUAUUAUUUUUUUUUAUCCUGAGGGCAGCCUCCCCUCUUAUACCCUUCACCCCACAGCAGUUCUUCUCAAACCAACUUUUCGUUGGUCAAACAACUUUGCAAAUAACAACAACAGCAAACACCCAGACACUUCCAUGCCCCAGCGGCUGGAGACCAAGCAACCCCAGGCUGCAGGGAGCCUCCUGAGCCACCCUUCUGGGUUCCCUCUAAGCUCUUUCCCAUUCCUGAUGGCCUCAUCGCUAAGAGUCUGAUGCUACCAUCGACCAUGGCCACGCUCCCACCUCUUUAUUAAUAUAAUUUUAUCAAUAAAUUAUUUAUUAAUAAAUUAUUUAUCGAUAAA